Long non-coding RNA from Gopherus flavomarginatus (Mexican gopher tortoise), 355 nucleotides. RefSeq lists it as uncharacterized. The record is from RefSeq and is a predicted model, not a curated record. Lineage: Eukaryota; Metazoa; Chordata; Testudines; Testudinidae. The transcript is spliced from 3 exons.
UCAGGGUAUGUCUACAUCUACAAUUUUGCAGCGCUGGUUGUUACAGCUGUAUUAGUACAGCUGUAUAGGGCCAGCGCUGCAGAGUGGUCACACUUACAGCAACCAGCGCUGCAAGUGGUGUUAGAUGUGGCCACACUGCAGCGCUGUUGGGCGGCUUCAAGGGGGGUUAGGGGAACGCGAGAGCAAACCGCGGGGAAGCAGGUCUCCUUCCCCGCGGUUUGUUCUCGCGUUCCCCGAACCCCCGUGCAAGCAGGUCUCCUUCCCAGCGGUUUGCUCCGGUGUUUUUUGAACCCCCGUGCAAGCAGAUCUCCUUCCCCGCGGUGUGCUGUCGCGUUCCCCGAACCCCCCUGCAAGC